RNAcentral lists this non-coding RNA (32 nucleotides) under Mus musculus (house mouse). Lineage: Eukaryota; Metazoa; Chordata; Mammalia; Rodentia; Muridae. The record is from RNAcentral.
UACAAAGUUUAGAUUUUGUAAAUGUGCUUUUC